UCCGCGGCGUCCCUAAUAAAGUGGCUCGCUCACUAUCGAACCUCCACGCCCAGCUCGCUCUCGGCGCUGCGCUCGAUCGUCUGGUGGACCAGGCCGACUUCCCGUUGGCUCAGCGUGCGCUCCGUGUGGCAGUAGACGAUGCGGAAGCAGUGGCUCCGCCUCCCGCUCCUGCCAGACAAAAGACGGGGAGAAAUCGGUCUCGACACUCCGCUUCUUCCUCCUCCUCCUCCUCCGCUGCCAGCAGCGUGUCAAUUAUUCAAGGUGGUUGUGUUCCAAAUGUCACACAAAGACGAGUGAAUGCGUUCCAUGUGAUCGACUCUGUCGUCCGUCAAUAAUUCAUGUCUCCAUUAUCCUGAAGAUCAAUACCGGGACACCUGAAUGCUGUACACGCUAAAGUAUCCCGUGUUACAAACGUAGGUGUGGUCAUGUGACUAGCCCAUCAUAACUGUGAAUAAUUCACGUGACAUUUUCCCUCUCUGCUAAUUGCUCGUUAAGAGCCCCACUUGACCUUUAAUGAGCCUUUAAAGCGCCUCUGGUGGUCAGCCCCCCUCCCCUCCCCCUUUCGCCCCCCCGUGGGACAUUGAACUACUUCCUGUCUCGGCAAGAAGCUCCCGCGUGUCAGGAAGUGCUCCUUCCUGUGUUAAAAGCCUCAUCUGUGGAAGGGUCUGUCCAUCCUGUGCAACGUGAGCCAUCUCCGUGUCAGAAGUUCCCAGCAAAGUGGUUUAGAUCCGGGCCUGAGAGGGUCCGUGGCGGUGUCGCGUGACAGCCAGUGGGAGGUAAUGGCUCGUUAGCAUUCCACAAAUGUGCACUUAGUCUGAGUUAUGAUGUCAGAAGUGAUUGUAAUGUGAUGACAACCCGACUCCUCCUGUUGCUCCGCCUACUUAAAAUGAUUGCCAUAAGCUGGCCUGCUUGGCCACGCCCCCUUGCCCUCUCACACAAAUAUAUUUUUUCUCUCUAAAUGUCAAAACCAUUUUUUUUAUUUUUUUUAAAUGUCACCUCCUUAUUUGUCUCCUACAUGCUUCCUUGCAGUGUGUGUGUGUGUGUGUGCACGGGCGCUUACUUUGGGUGCGUGAAGUCGUCCACCAGCGACACCCUCUCCACCAGGUCCCCGGCGAUGGAGCGCACCAGCUCGUAGAAGUCGUUGGCGUCGAAGUGGCGCCCGUCCGCUGGCAGCCAGAAGGAAAUGUCGUUGUGCAGGGGCGGAUACUUGCUGAGGGCCUGACGGGCGCAAACAGGAAGUCGGGAACAUAGACGUAAUGCCAACAAGAAUGACACCCAGGUCAUCAUCUGGACUCUGAAUCAAGUUUGUCCUCCACUUCCUGUUACGAAGACAUGUGCCCUCCUCGCAGUCUCCACCCGCCCACCACGUCCCAGGGGGGACAUCAAACGCUGCUGCUGAGGUAGACGUCUUCAAACACUGCGCUCAUUAAGCUGAGGUGAUGUCUUCAUUGCUGUAAUCGCAUUACUUUGCGACUGGAGGAACACGCACGCACACACAUAGUUGAGUCAGACGUGCACAGAUGGACACAUUCAGCAUCAGAUGUGGCUUGAGGGUGAGGAUGACGACGCUGACAGAGCGGGAUGAAGAAGAUGACGGGGGAGGAAGGUCAUGAUGGCGAGGAUGAUGAAGACGGUGAUGUCAUGCAGUCCUGACAACAGUGCCACCUUUGUCAUCCCUCCAUCCUGGGAGGGGGGCGGAGCUAUGAGGAUGAAAGCGCUGACUCAGCAAGAAGAAUUGAAAAAAAAACAACAACAACAAAAAACAAAGAAAAGAGAAGCGACGCAAAGCCCCGCAGGGGUGACGUCGGACGCCGUUUAAUGAGAGAAGGAUGGAGGUAGGGAGGAAGGGGUCACAUGAUUUAUUCAAAAGGGGGGAUUAAGAUGGAAAGCAAGCACCUGAACACCACCACACACACACACACACACACACACACACACACGCACACACACACACACAGUCCCAGAGGGCCUGGGGCGACAGCUUUGAGAGGCUGUUAAUUGUCACCAACACGACUUUAAUCAGAUUUCAGUAGCCACACACACACACACACACACACACACACAAUAUCCCGCCGGCACGUGCCUGCCCCCUUGUGUCCCGUGGGGUGUGUGUAAAUCAGGUUUUUGGGCGAGGGGGUGUGGCCAUUAGCACAAGUCCCAUAUGUUGGGAGGGGAAACCCGUGGGACACACAAGUGUCUUCGUGCACACACAUUCAUUUAACAUGUGUGUGUGUGCGUGUGUGUGUAAGCUGAUGAAUUAAUAAACGGAGAAGAAGAAAUAGACUCUCUCUCUCUCUCUUUCCAUCUCUCUCUCUCUCUACCACACCCUCCAUCCGUGAAUUAAUGAAGAUGUAAAAUUUUUCCUUCAUCCCUCCUCCUCCUCACCCAUCCAUCAC
Long non-coding RNA from Nerophis ophidion (straightnose pipefish), 2396 nucleotides. RefSeq lists it as uncharacterized. The record is from RefSeq and is a predicted model, not a curated record. NCBI's taxonomy places the organism in Eukaryota, Metazoa, Chordata, Actinopteri, Syngnathiformes, Syngnathidae. The transcript has 4 exons.